AGCUCCAAUAGCGUAUAUUAAAGUUGUUGCGGUUAAAAAGCUCGUAGUUGGAUUUCUGCCGAGGACGACCGGUCCGCCCUCUGGGUGAGCAUCUGGCUCGGCCUUGACAUCUUCUUGGUGAACGUAGCUGCACUUGACUGUGUGGUGCGGUACCCAGGACUUUUACUUUGAGGAAAUUAGAGUGUUUCAAGCAGGCAUACGCCUUGAAUACAUUAGCAUGGAAUAAUAAGAUAGGACCUUGGUUCUAUUUUGUUGGUUUCUAGAGCUGAGGUAAUGAUUAAUAGGGAUAGUUGGGGGCAUUCGUAUUUAACUGUCAGAGGUGGAAUUCUUGGAUUACGUUACGACGAACUACUGCGAAAGCAUUUGCCAAGGAUGUUUUCA
RNAcentral lists this ribosomal RNA (381 nucleotides) under marine Metazoa environmental sample. RNAcentral describes it as "SSU rRNA". It matches the Rfam family "Eukaryotic small subunit ribosomal RNA", at positions 587 to 972 of the family's 1831-position model. The record is from RNAcentral. Lineage: Eukaryota; Metazoa.